CAAAGUGUUUUCCUGAAAAUGCAUAUAAUGCUCUGAUAGGGAGAGCAGUUUCUACACCCAGCCGUAAACCGGGUACUAUGUCAUCCAUAGAUGGACUA
This 98-nucleotide non-coding RNA is filed under the name Ruthenibacterium lactatiformans. RNAcentral describes it as "Purine riboswitch aptamer". It matches the Rfam family "Purine riboswitch aptamer". From Rfam's summary of the family: Riboswitches are metabolite binding domains within certain messenger RNAs that serve as precision sensors for their corresponding targets. RNAcentral also lists the same sequence under 1 other name. The record is from Rfam by way of RNAcentral. Lineage: Bacteria; Bacillati; Bacillota; Clostridia; Eubacteriales; Oscillospiraceae.